RNAcentral lists this long non-coding RNA (672 nucleotides) under Equus caballus (horse). RNAcentral describes it as "lncRNA (ENSECAG00000032203.3)". Lineage: Eukaryota; Metazoa; Chordata; Mammalia; Perissodactyla; Equidae. The record is from RNAcentral.
AGCUGAUCCCAGGAUAUUAGCAGGGCUUUUGGCCACAUGGGGAGUCAGUAUGCAUCCCCCACUUCCUUGGCCAGAAUCUAGGCAGACGUGGGGAGUUUUCUUCACACUUAACUGAGGGUCCAAAAACAACAGAGAAAGAAGCUGGGGACCAUGGCGGUGACACCUUCGUUCCUGGGGGCAGUGCAGGUCCGCUGUGUUACACAGAAACCUGGUAUGGACUCUUCUCCCUUCUGACCACAGCCGAGACUCAGAGGGACCUGCGUGUCUCUAGGAGGGAUUAUCAGUGGACAUCUCUGAAUCUCUCCAUCUGGACCCUCAGUCAGACUUCUGGAAGACCGAAGAUCCUGUCUCUGGUCAGCUCCGUUCUUCUGGGUCACACUGCAUCCUGAUCUGGGGCUGCUCCAUCCUGUGAGGCCCCCCUCCAGUCCUGAAGCAGCCUGAACUACCCCCCCUUCUCCUGCCUUCUACAGCAGCCACAGUGGUAUCACUCCCAGCUGUUCCUGAGCUGGUUCCCAAGCUCAAGGCUAAGUGGCUCCGCCCGGAUCAGCAACCUUGCCAUGAACAGGUCAGACUGUGUUCAAACACCACCAAUGUAGAUUUAAUGCAAUCAGCCACUUACCCAACAGUUCCAAAUUAAAUGCAGACGCACUCAACACGUCUGCUAAGUCUUAU